This 376-nucleotide ribosomal RNA is filed under the name uncultured bacterium. RNAcentral describes it as "bacterial SSU rRNA". It matches the Rfam family "Bacterial small subunit ribosomal RNA", at positions 524 to 898 of the family's 1533-position model. The record is from RNAcentral.
GACAGAGGGUGCAAACGUUGUUCGGAUUUACUGGGCGUAAAGCGCGUGUAGGCGGCUUGGCAAGUCGGAUGUGAAAGCCCACGGCUCAACCGUGGAAGCGCACCCGAACCGGCCUCGCUCGAGUCUCGGAGAGGAAGGUGGAAUGCUUGGUGUAGAGGUGAAAUUCGUAGAUAUCAAGCAGAACACCUGCGGCGAAGGCGGCCUUCUGGACGAUGACUGACGCUGAGACGCGAAAGCGUGGGGAGCAAACAGGAUUAGAUACCCUGGUAGUCCACGCCGUAAACGAUGAGUGCUAGGUGUCACGGGCUUUGACCCUCGUGGUGCCGCAGCUAACGCGAUAAGCACUCCGCCUGGGGAGUACGGCCGCAAGGCUAAA